UCUAAGAAAAGGGAGUCUUAAUAAAGAGGACAUUAAGUGUUCCCAGGAAUAGAAAUGGCUCAUUAGGAGAUUUGCCAUGCGGAGUUGCUUAUUGAGGUCGCAGCAGUUGGACAGAUUGUACAUGCCAGCAGGAUCUGAUCUGCUUGCUUUGACUUUGAAACUAACAACAACGAAGCUAUCAACAGUUGUACAGAAAGACGCCCUGACAACUACAGCCACACUGGGUACACUUCAAUAUAAUCUCCGCACUGUCUGGGAUUUAACUACCACCUAAGCAGGAAAAAGGUGAAUGUUAGUAUGAGGACAAGCCACCACCUUGAUCUCGCACCCAAAGCUGCUGCAGCCGCUGGAGUCGCCCAGGUCCCUCCUCCCCUCCCCGGUCAAAGAUGACAUCAUCCGUAGUAAGACUCGUGCAACAGGAGGGAUGGGUGUGGAUCUCACCACUGUAGCCCUGUGAACACCCCCCCCCCCCAUUAUCUACAUAUCUGAACAGACAGACAGACAGUCACUUCCUGCAGGCUGUCAAGUGUGUUAAGUAUAGUAAAUUGUCUCAAGUCCUGUAGUUAAGUACACAUUUAAAGCUUUUGUAUUAUGCUGAUUAGAUGUUUGCUGUGGUUUGAUUGGAGCUAUUCAGGGAUUAAUGUAUGUAUGUAAUGCAAGUAUUAAGUGAAAUGAUAAAGGUUCUCGCUCCUUUUCUUUCUUCCCUUUUCUCUUUUCAUAGACCUGUGUGCCAUGGAACAAAAAUGUUUAGACUAUAAUUUUAUUUGAUUUGUUUUACCUAAGAUAACUGUUAUCUUACACUGUUAUGCCUGUGUAUCAAUAUUGAUCUUGCAUCAAUAAUAUAUUGUAUUCUUCCCAUUCCCUGCUGUAUCAAAUUCUAACUGUUGAUGAAACCAUAAAGAAAACAUAAUAAAUUGUUUAAAAGAAAGAACAA
Long non-coding RNA from Micropterus salmoides (largemouth bass), 934 nucleotides. RefSeq lists it as uncharacterized. The record is from RefSeq and is a predicted model, not a curated record. The transcript has 2 exons. Lineage: Eukaryota; Metazoa; Chordata; Actinopteri; Centrarchiformes; Centrarchidae.